Molecule: non-coding RNA, 189 nt
Organism: Sciurus carolinensis (gray squirrel)
Lineage: Eukaryota; Metazoa; Chordata; Mammalia; Rodentia; Sciuridae
Product: small Cajal body-specific RNA 16
Exons: 1
Source: RefSeq, a predicted model, not a curated record
AUGGUCUGGGGAAAGGCGCCUGUGUGGUUGCACUUUCCCCGUGGACUGUGCAGCCGGUACCAGGCAGCCCCACCCUGACCUAGAGUGAAUCCCCCGGGGGGGGAGUCUUCCCUGGGGUUUGAAUUUGCAAUAACAGGUGUGACCAUUCUAGCAGCAGCUUGAUGAUCAUGUAUGACACUGCAAGGAGGU